RNAcentral lists this ribosomal RNA (100 nucleotides) under Bacillus amyloliquefaciens DSM 7 = ATCC 23350. RNAcentral describes it as "partial 16S ribosomal RNA". It matches the Rfam family "Bacterial small subunit ribosomal RNA", at positions 1441 to 1533 of the family's 1533-position model. RNAcentral also lists the same sequence under 1 other name. Lineage: Bacteria; Bacillati; Bacillota; Bacilli; Caryophanales; Bacillaceae. The record is from RNAcentral.
UUUUGGAGCCAGCCGCCGAAGGUGGGACAGAUGAUUGGGGUGAAGUCGUAACAAGGUAGCCGUAUCGGAAGGUGCGGCUGGAUCACCUCCUUUCUAAGGA